This 253-nucleotide ribosomal RNA is filed under the name uncultured bacterium. RNAcentral describes it as "partial 16S ribosomal RNA". It matches the Rfam family "Bacterial small subunit ribosomal RNA", at positions 524 to 776 of the family's 1533-position model. The record is from RNAcentral.
UACGUAGGGUGCGAGCGUUGUCCGGAAUUAUUGGGCGUAAAGGGCUCGUAGGCGGUCUGUCGCGUCGGGAGUGAAAACCUUGGGCUUAACUCAGGGCUUGCUUUCGAUACGGGCAGACUAGAGGUAUGCAGGGGAGAACGGAAUUCCUGGUGUAGCGGUGAAAUGCGCAGAUAUCAGGAGGAACACCGGUGGCGAAGGCGGGUCUCUGGGCCGAUACUGACGCUGAGGAGCGAAAGCGUGGGGAGCAAACAGG